This 253-nucleotide ribosomal RNA is filed under the name uncultured bacterium. RNAcentral's name for it is "partial 16S ribosomal RNA". It matches the Rfam family "Bacterial small subunit ribosomal RNA", at positions 524 to 776 of the family's 1533-position model. The record is from RNAcentral.
UACAGAGGUCUCAAGCGUUGUUCGGAUUCAUUGGGCGUAAAGGGUGCGUAGGCGGCGCGGUAAGUCGGGUGUGAAAUCUCGGAGCUUAACUCCGAAACUGCAUUCGAUACUGCCGUGCUUGAGGACUGGAGAGGAGACUGGAAUUUACGGUGUAGCGGUGAAAUGCGUAGAUAUCGUAAGGAAGACCAGUGGCGAAGGCGGCCUCCUGGAUCGAUACUGACGCUGAGGCGCGAAAGCGUGGGGAGCAAACAGG